Long non-coding RNA from Amphibalanus amphitrite, 1234 nucleotides. RefSeq lists it as uncharacterized. The record is from RefSeq and is a predicted model, not a curated record. The transcript has 2 exons. NCBI's taxonomy places the organism in Eukaryota, Metazoa, Arthropoda, Thecostraca, Balanomorpha, Balanidae.
CAUAUUUCUGUCGAUACAAUUGUAGUGUGAGAGUUGGGUUUUGGAGGCUGUCGUCUCGGCGCCGCGGGGAGCGUCGGCCGGCCGCCGUCUGCCCCGUCCCCUCCGGUGUGGACGGAGGGCACAUCUGGUGUCGGAGCGGUCCCGGCGGCCGUUCGUCCCAGUUUCGGGGCCAUGCCGGCGCGUCGGAUAGGACAGAGGGGGAGUCGUGUCCGAGCCAUGGGACCGCACGGUGGUGUGUGAGGGUGAGCGAGCAAUACAAAGCAAUCUGGCAAAGAUUACCUUUUACAAGCUAUUUCGGCAACAUGCCUGAAGAGAGCGAUGGUGCAGUGACGCGGCAGUGAUCGGCACCGUUUGCAACGACUUGCAACGGAGCUGUCGAGGCAGUGAGAAGCAGGGGUCGCCCAGGAGCCGUGGCGUCUGCCGUGGACCCCGCCCGUCACCUCGUCUGUCCCGGUGGCUGCUGCUGGACCGGCCCAUACACAGCCGGCCGGGAGGAUCGGCAGAUACGGCGAGGUGGACUGCGACCGGCAGAAGAACCUAGUGCCGCUGGACUAACUGGACACUGAGCGGCUGGGCCGGUCUGUGCAAUGCUCUGGCGAGUGAUGCUCGCAGUGAGGGUGCUGGCGAGUGAUGCUCGCAGUGAGUGCGCUGGCGAGUGAUGCUCGCAGUGAGGGUGGUGGCGAGUGGUGCUCGCAGUGAACGUGUUGGCGAGUGAUGCUCGCAGUUAGUGCGCUGGCGAGUGAUGCUCGCAGCGGUGAAGGUGACAGCCGGUGGGGCUGUGGAGGUGGUGGCAGCUGGUGGGCUGUGGAGGUGGUGGCAGUGCCGCGGCACUGCACUGGAAAUUCCACAGGAGGGCCGUGUGGUGGCAGUCGCCAGCACUGCAAUGGAAAUUCCACAGGAGGGCCGUGUGGUGGCAGUCGCCGGCACUGCACUGGAAAUUCCACAGGAGCCGUGUGGUGGCAGUCGCCGGCACUGCACUAGAAAUUCCACAGGAGGGCCGUGUGGUGGCAGUGACCGGGACUUUUUAGAAUAAGUGUCUGAUUGUUUGUGAGCUCGUGGUUUUUGUGUGCAUUUGAUUUAAGGUGACCAAUUGAUUUUGUGUGUGCCGUUGAUGGACAGGAGAGGGCAAGUGGUUGAAUGAGAGAGCUGGUAGUUUCGUGGCAUCUGUGGUCCGUGACAAAAUUGGUGAGCCUGGCCAAGCGCAUUUCUUCAUGCCGGGCGCUGCACGUAAAAA